This 1074-nucleotide long non-coding RNA is filed under the name Apteryx haastii (Great spotted kiwi). RNAcentral's name for it is "lncRNA (ENSAHAG00000009075.1)". Lineage: Eukaryota; Metazoa; Chordata; Aves; Apterygiformes; Apterygidae. The record is from RNAcentral.
AUGAAUUUGCUUGUAUUUUUCUCUAGUCCAGCAUCAGCACCUGCCUGUAUGCACGAAUCGCUGGUGUUUCUUUCUCUUUUUUUUAUUUGCAAAACUGAGCAAACUAAGAAAAUGGAAACACAGGCUUCCUCCAGGUCUUACUUCACAUUAUUCGCAGUCACGAAAGUCAAGGUGCCAGAGCGCAGCUCUCCCACGAUCCUCUCCUGCUGCAGGGACGCGGGCACGCCGCAGCCCCCGCGGCUGCCUGGGGCGCUCCCGGGGCUGGGGGCUGCCAGGGGCCCCGGGGCCGCCCCGCUCGGGAAGCGGGACAGAGCGCGCUGGCGGGGCCGCCGCCGCAGGCCGCUUGUGCCCUCUGCCGGGUCUGCGCUCGCCUUGCCCCGCGCUCGGCCCCAAACCUGCCCCCAUCUCUGGGAACCCGGCCACGAGGGAUGGGGRGCCUGCGCUUCGGCCCACUUGUCUUGCGAGCCUGGAGCAAGAACCCAAGAGCUGGCACCCCGUGGCUACAGCUGCACUGAGCUCAUGGCGACCGCUCUUCCGUUAUUUCCAGCACCCUGCUCUUUAAAAAUGCAGGUUUGGCCUGGCCUUGAGCAUGCUCCGGCAUCCAGGGAGCAGCAGGCAAGUUCUGCAGGAGCCCGCAGAGAAAGCAGGCCAGCACCAGCGAGGAGGUGGUGGAAUAGCUGCGUCUGCAGCAGGAUGGGAGCAGGCUCCUGCUGUCCUCCUGCAGGGAGAAAGCCCUGUCUGCCCGAGCAGCGCUGCCCGGGGCUGUCCUUCCCCAGAGCUGCUCCUGCCCCUGCCCCAGAGCUGCUCCUGCCCCUGCCCCGGAGCUGCUCCUGCCCCUGCCCCAGAGCUGCUCCUGCCCCUUCCCCGGGGCUGCUCCUGCCCUUCCCCGGGGCUGCUCCUGCCCCUCCCUGGAGCUGCUCCUGCCCCUUCCCCGGGGCUGCUCCUGCCCCUUCCCCAGAGCUGCUCCUGCCCCUGCCCCGGAGCUGCUCCUGCCCUUCCCUGGAGCUGCUCCUGCCCUUCCCCUCCCGCUGGGCCGCCUCUUUGGUGAUGCGCAGCUUGGCCCCGGCUCCGUAA